CGUCUGAAAUCGAACUAUUAUUAUUUUUUGUUGUCAUGUAAUUCUCAUUGUUUACUUUGUUUUUACGUUGACAACAUGUACGUGAGUUUCCCUCGUCUGAACGGUAUCGUCAUUUCUGUUUUUUUUGUUGUUUUUACCUCCAGCGCUAUUAUCCAUGUGCAAAUAUUGCACUGCUUCGUUACCUAAACGAAAUGUCAGGCGUUGCACGUGGGCUUAGAAUGAGUAAACAUAUCCAGUAGUGGAGUUAAAAGUAACAGAUGUGUUCUGUUGGGUACUCUGCACAUAUCGUGAUGUUCAUGCCUGCAUGUUAAUGCAAAAACUCCAUGGAUAGCAGUCAUUUCCCAAUGCAACAAAAUAUUCACAGUCUGUAACAGAAGAUUUUUUUGUUGGACCUUCAAGAAAUUCUAACAAGAUGUGCUAUUUGCUAUCAAUAUUCCGCAAGAAUUGGAUCUCCCGUUUAUUUUUUCCGGUAAUUACCAUAUCUGUUCCACUAUCACCUUAAUUCUAAUGGCUAUCAAAUUAAGGGAAUGGUUUUGAAACAUUUGUGUCGCUUAUUAUGUGUGUUGUAUUGCUUUGAAGUGGUUACAGGUCGUACCUUAAAACUGAACUUUAAGAACUUUGAAAGGCCAUGUUAUGUUAAUUUACUAUAGUUUAUGUUUGAAACUACACAGAUCUUUUGUAACUUGUAAAGGAAAACAUAGUUCAUUUUUAAAAUUUUCGAAAUUUUAACUUUCAGUAUAACUUCUGGUUGGAAAAUGCCUAAUAACUCACUAUCUGUUGGUCUAAAUGAAAAAAGAACCACAUUUUCGUAAUCCUCGUGAAAUUUGGGGUCGAAUCCAUGUGUCAGGAGGAAAUACCCGAAAAUCUUCAAAAAUCGCAAAUUUCCCUGAACCAAAGAGAGUUCAGGAAAAAUCGCGAUUUUGGCCCAAUUGGACUUUUCGCCAAAAACAGGUCAAAAUAGGUCAGACACACCUUAAAUUUCACGAGAAUCACGAAAAUCAUAUUUGUUUUGUUGUGGGCCCAGUAUUUCUGGAGAUAUAGGCUACUUCCGGUCACUUCCGGUAUAUAUAUUUUUCAACUUGGCGAAAAGUAAAAAAUGAACAUGAAUAUUCCAAACAUUUUAAGCAUUUCGAUCAUAAAUGAAAUGGGGUGGCGGCUUUUUUCGUGUUUGUUUUGCUAUUUCACUAUUGGUUGAUUGCGCGAG
Long non-coding RNA from Daphnia carinata, 1204 nucleotides. RefSeq lists it as uncharacterized. The transcript has 3 exons. Lineage: Eukaryota; Metazoa; Arthropoda; Branchiopoda; Diplostraca; Daphniidae. The record is from RefSeq and is a predicted model, not a curated record.